UUCGACGGUCAUAGCGGUGGGGUCCCACCUGUUCCCAUCCCGAACACAGAAGUUAAGCCCGCCUGCGUAGUUUGUUGUACUGUUGUGCGAGAGCCAACGGGAAGCUUGCAACGCUGUCGACC
This 122-nucleotide ribosomal RNA is filed under the name Methanobacteriota archaeon. Lineage: Archaea; Methanobacteriati; Methanobacteriota. The record is from RNAcentral.